UCUCCGCUGCGCCGCUCGAGCGCCUCCGUCGCCCCCGCUACUUCCGAGCGUGCGUUUGUCUUGCUGCGCCUCCCCCAGCGCCCACACCUCGCCACCAUGUUCUCCGGCUUCUCGGUAGGGGAUUCCUCAUCUUGCCUGCUCCAGCUACCUAGUGUCCUAUUCGCCGCCUUCCUUAGCUUCUAGCGUGUGCCGCCUUCCCCAGGUGUGUUUAUGCUGCUACCCUUCUGCCUGCAUCUGUGAUUCCAAUGAUACUAUGAUAGCCCAAUUCCGAUUCUGCAGUUUAUUGUUCUCCAUCAGAUUUAUGUUCCCUGUGCUGUGCCUGUGAUGUCAUAGUAGUUGGUGGCUUCCUGUUGUAGUGCCUCUUCCUCAACUGUCAUUGUGUGUAAGCUGUUAGAUUUAAUCUUGGUCGUAUAUUUUGCUUACCAAUUGGCAUGGGAAUGAAUAUACACAGAUUUAUUUCACAUAUAUUCCUACGAAUAACACUGGGUUUAGCUUACUGCUGAAUUUACUUCCUAAUUACAAUGGUUCUACCAACAACAUAUGAGACUGAGAUUGUUCAUAAAAACUUGCUAUUUCUUAGGUUCAAUCUGCAAGUAUUAGCACGUGUGUUUGUUUAUAAUCGAGGAAUUAAUCAAUUCUGCCUCCACACACGGCAAACACACCAUUGAUUGACAACUAACAUUGUCUCUGGCCUACCACCAGCGGUGGCAGCAAUGCAACUCCAUGUCCUACUCUAAUUUCGUUGUCUUACGUACCAGUGGGUUUCAGAACAGCCAGUAUAUCAUGUCACGUAAAAAAUAACAGAUUACUUUGGCACUUUAACAUAGAGGUUGUGUAGACUUCUUCUCUCUGGCCCAGCUCUGCUUUUGUUCAAACCAGCUCUGUUUGCUGCAGACCAAUUUUCAUAAAUCACACAUACAAAUGAGUUUAGAGCAUAUUCUUUUUUAUUUUCUUGAAAUUCAAAUGUGACUGGCUAAAUUCAGUACAACGGUGUUUACUUAGACUGGAAAAAGAAGGUAUAGUGCAUAAUCUAGAUCCAGUAAAAAAGAUAGCCACCUGUCACCUGAAAUGGAAGCAGUGACAUGGAGAUGCUCAUUCCAUUUCUUAAGGCUGCAUCUCACUAACGCUGCUGUUGGGCCUCAUUUUGAUAUUGCAACCUCUCACCAGUCAUCCAUAUACGCAUCAAGGCAACCGAUUUUGAUUUUGUUGGCCAUGUUGUUUCUGCAAAUAACUUUACAGAUUCAUCUUGUGACUUGAUCUGUCCUCUAGCUGUAGGCUUGAUUUGGUUAUUUCAAAAUUCCUAUGGAGAUUUACUUUGACAUGGGUUAUUGUUUCUUUAAAUUUAUACAGUCAUGCAUUUGCUCUCUAAUUGACACCAAAUUUUAUCUUCAGGAUGAAAUUCCAUAGUCUGAAUAUGUUUGUCCCAAACUCUUAACUCUGAACAUGUUGUCUCAGGCAAAACCAAAAUCGGUUGCCUUGCCUACGAAGGUGUCUGAACAUGGCAGGUCAACACUCUCAGUCAGUUGCAACUGUUGGAUAUUUGAAGACAUGACCCUGCUAUAAUAAUCUUCCAACCAUAGUUUCGCAAUCAGCUCAAGAACUCUACCAUCAAAUUGAUACAUGGUUUGGCAAAUAACCAAGGACUCUACCAUUAGGUUGAUAUGGAUGGGAAGAAGAAUUAUUAACAACUAAAAAACGAGAGAAACGAGUCCCCGAAGAAAGUGGCCAAAUGCUACUAUUAUCUGUGCCUAUGUUUUCAAGGCGUCCGCUUUGUGCUGUUGAGGCGUCCAGGGUGUCGCCUAGGCGGAGAAGGAGGCGCUUCGAUCGAUUCUGGACGCCCUGGUCCCGUGCGGGCAGGUCGGGCGGGAAACAGGUGCUGGCGCGCGCGGGAACCAGAGUUGGCGGGAGGGAAAUGAAUUGGGCAGGAGAGAGAGAUUAAGCAGAGGCAGGAGAGAGAGGGGAACACACCUACAGCUCCAGAUCGAGGGGAAAAGAGAGAGGAGCUCUCUCCUCUCGCGCCGCCGGCCCAGAUCCGCUCCUCCUCCGCCGGCCUUCCCCUCUCCGGCCAAGCUCCUCCUCCGCAGGCCCUUCCCCUCUCCGG
Long non-coding RNA from Triticum dicoccoides, 2101 nucleotides. RefSeq lists it as uncharacterized. The transcript is spliced from 3 exons. Lineage: Eukaryota; Viridiplantae; Streptophyta; Magnoliopsida; Poales; Poaceae. The record is from RefSeq and is a predicted model, not a curated record.